Molecule: long non-coding RNA, 423 nt
Organism: Uranotaenia lowii
Lineage: Eukaryota; Metazoa; Arthropoda; Insecta; Diptera; Culicidae
Exons: 3
Source: RefSeq, a predicted model, not a curated record
UGUAUUCAUGAGCGUGUUUGUUGUUUGACGGAUUUUGACGUAAGCGAAAGAAAAAGAAAAAGAAAUUUUUUGUCGAGUUGCCGAAUUGCCGCGAACAAAUCAUGACCAGCAGUUGCUGCUGGUCGGAAUCUUUGGAUUUACCAUGGAUUAGAGGUGGAAUCUGGACAGAGGACGAAAGAGGCGGCUGGUGAAACAAAUUCCAUCGGUCAGUUAAGUCGACAGCCAUCAUCACCUGGUUUAUCAUUCGAUAAGAUGUUACGAAGUCGCAACAUUCGCGUUGCGGUUUCCGUUCAUCUCGGGAAGAUACACCAACCGCCCAAAGGUGGACAUCAGGGGUCAGAGGAACAAAUGAUGUCGUCGAUACCCAUACUAGUACUGAUGUUGCAGCUGUAGGUUGGAUAAUAAAUUUGUUGAAAAAAUUAA